This 72-nucleotide transfer RNA is filed under the name SAR324 cluster bacterium. RNAcentral's name for it is "tRNA-Ala". It matches the Rfam family "tRNA". Rfam says of the family: Transfer RNA (tRNA) molecules are approximately 80 nucleotides in length. Their secondary structure includes four short double-helical elements and three loops (D, anti-codon, and T loops). Further hydrogen bonds mediate the characteristic L-shaped molecular structure. tRNAs have two regions of fundamental functional importance: the anti-codon, which is responsible for specific mRNA codon recognition, and the 3' end, to which the tRNAs corresponding amino acid is attached (by aminoacyl-tRNA synthetases). tRNAs cope with the degeneracy of the genetic code in two manners: having more than one tRNA (with a specific anti-codon) for a particular amino acid; and 'wobble' base-pairing, i.e. permitting non-standard base-pairing at the 3rd anti-codon position. The record is from RNAcentral. Lineage: Bacteria; Deltaproteobacteria.
GGGGGUAUAUCUCAAUGGCAGAGUAUUUGCUUUGCAAGCAAAAAGUUUCCAGUUCGAGUCUGGAUAUCUCCA